This 782-nucleotide ribosomal RNA is filed under the name Streptomyces sp. RNAcentral's name for it is "bacterial SSU rRNA". It matches the Rfam family "Bacterial small subunit ribosomal RNA", at positions 60 to 858 of the family's 1533-position model. Lineage: Bacteria; Bacillati; Actinomycetota; Actinomycetes; Kitasatosporales; Streptomycetaceae. The record is from RNAcentral.
AGUCGACGAUGAAGCCCUUCGGGGUGGAUUAGUGGCGAACGGGUGAGUAACACGUGGGCAAUCUGCCCUUCACUCUGGGACAAGCCCUGGAAACGGGGUCUAAUACCGGAUAACACUCUGUCCCUCAUGGGGCGGGGUUAAAAGCUCCGGCGGUGAAGGAUGAGCCCGCGGCCUAUCAGCUUGUUGGUGGGGUAAUGGCCUACCAAGGCGACGACGGGUAGCCGGCCUGAGAGGGCGACCGGCCACACUGGGACUGAGACACGGCCCAGACUCCUACGGGAGGCAGCAGUGGGGAAUAUUGCACAAUGGGCGAAAGCCUGAUGCAGCGACGCCGCGUGAGGGAUGACGGCCUUCGGGUUGUAAACCUCUUUCAGCAGGGAAGAAGCGAAAGUGACGGUACCUGCAGAAGAAGCGCCGGCUAACUACGUGCCAGCAGCCGCGGUAAUACGUAGGGCGCAAGCGUUGUCCGGAAUUAUUGGGCGUAAAGAGCUCGUAGGCGGCUUGUCACGUCGGAUGUGAAAGCUCGGGGCUUAACCCCGAGUCUGCAUUCGAUACGGGCUAGCUAGAGUGUGGUAGGGGAGAUCGGAAUUCCUGGUGUAGCGGUGAAAUGCGCAGAUAUCAGGAGGAACACCGGUGGCGAAGGCGGAUCUCUGGGCCAUUACUGACGCUGAGGAGCGAAAGCGUGGGGAGCGAACAGGAUUAGAUACCCUGGUAGUCCACGCCGUAAACGUUGGGAACUAGGUGUUGGCGACAUUCCACGUCGUCGGUGCCGCAGCUAACGC